RNAcentral lists this unclassified non-coding RNA (301 nucleotides) under Glomus sp. Its description in RNAcentral is "partial contains 5.8S ribosomal RNA, internal transcribed spacer 2, and large subunit ribosomal RNA". The stretch from base 1 to 71 matches the Rfam family "5.8S ribosomal RNA", at positions 84 to 154 of the family's 154-position model. The record is from RNAcentral. Lineage: Eukaryota; Fungi; Glomeromycota; Glomeromycetes; Glomerales; Glomeraceae.
GUGAAUCAUCGAAUUUUUGAACGCAAAUUGCACUCUCUGGUAUGCCGGAGAGUAUUCCUGUGUGAGGGUCAGUUAAAUUAGAAUCGGUGUUAUUGCUAUGAUUGCUGUUGCAUGGGAAUUGAGUCGUCUUUACCUUUGGUUUUAAGUGACUUAAAAUUAUUUACGAUUUCUGAACGUAUUUAAAUUAUUUACUUACGCUCAUGAUAUCACAUAUUAGGUUCGGUCAUCCACACGAUUUCGCGCCUAUAAUUUUUCAUUAUUUGACCUCAAAUCAGGUAAGAAUACCCGCUGAACUUAAUCA